This is a long non-coding RNA of Saccostrea echinata, 936 nucleotides long. RefSeq lists it as uncharacterized. The record is from RefSeq and is a predicted model, not a curated record. The transcript is spliced from 2 exons. NCBI's taxonomy places the organism in Eukaryota, Metazoa, Mollusca, Bivalvia, Ostreida, Ostreidae.
UUUAUGGGGAGAUUGUCUUGUUUGGCGAACGUCUUACUCUCACUUCAGCGUCCGCCGAGAUAAAAUGUGGGCGCUGACUCUGUUGUACGCAGUGGUUCUUGGCACGUUGUUGAAUACCGCUGUGUAUGGUACCAAAACCAACUUUGGAGACCAUCCCUCGGCUCAAGGGUUCCGCCAUAAACCGUUAUCUACGGCACAGUACCUGGGACUUCAAAACUUAUUUAGUACUUACAACAAACGAAUGCCAUUCAGCAUGGACAGCCGCGCCUUCGACAUAGACAUGGACCGUUACAACAAAUUUAUGGAUUGGAGAACUCUGUUUGGAAAGAGAAGUUUUGCUGGUGCGGAUAAAAACGGAUUCCAAGACACGGAAAGUCCAUUUAAGGCAUAUUAUCAAAAUUGGCGUGAUGGUUUCUUGUCUCCGAAGAAGAACAACAGGAAGUAGAGCUGGCCUCUCUGUCUUUAAGUUAUUGAUUUGACAUCUGUCAGCUUCUGAUGGCUUUAUUGAAAUCUCUCCUCAUUUCGUUUUUGUUUUACAUCAAUGACAUCAACUCUAGUAAUGGCCUAUUGAGUUCUUUUAAAUUAAGUCACAAAGAACGGGAUUUUUUUCGAUAAAUCGUGACUUUAGAAACCUAUUUGGAAUACUAUGUUAAUGGACCUUUACAGUUUUUAAGUCGAUUUUUGAAUAAUUUUUAUGUGUGAAAAGUGCAUUAAAGUUUUAUUUUUUAAGUAUCGAUGCCGUCGCUAUGUUUAUGAAUCAUUAAUGUUAGGAACUGACUGUUUCUUCAGAGGCUCGCGGGCUACACCACUCACCUAACAUACUGUACAAUCUUUCUACAAGGCCUCAAAUUUAAGUCAAAUAUCAAAUACAAUAAUGAUUGCUUGCAAGCAACUUCACCAUAUUGUUCGGAAAAAUAAAUAUUUUUCUAUUCGGAA